UAGGGAAUCUUCGGCAAUGGACGAAAGUCUGACCGAGCAACGCCGCGUGAGUGAAGAAGGUUUUCGGAUCGUAAAACUCUUUUGUUAGAGAAGAACAAGGACGUUAGUAACUGAACGUCCCCUGACGGUAUCUAACCAGAAAGCCACGGCUAACUACGUUCCAGCAGUCGCGGUAAUACGUAGGUGGCAAGCGUUGUACGGAUUUAUUGGGCGUAAAGCGAGCGCAGGCGGUUUCUUAAGUCUGAUGUGAAAGCCCCCGGCUCAACCGGGGAGGGUCAUUGGAAACUGGGAGACUUGAGUGCAGAAGAGGAGAGUGGAAUUCCAUGUGUGGCGGUGAAGUGCGUAGAUAUAUGGAGGAACACCAGUGGCAAAGGCGACUCUCUGGUCUGUAACUGACGCUGAGGCUCGAAAGCGUGGGGAGCAAACAGG
Molecule: ribosomal RNA, 429 nt
Filed under: Gemmatimonadota bacterium
Lineage: Bacteria; Pseudomonadati; Gemmatimonadota
Description: Gemmatimonadetes bacterium partial 16S ribosomal RNA
Rfam family: Bacterial small subunit ribosomal RNA
Source: RNAcentral